GGCAGACAGAAAACACGGUGGUGAGAUUUAGAACCCGGGUAGAGAGAAGAGAGAGAUAGUGCUGAGAGACAGACAGAGAGGCCGAUUACGAUGGUUCCGCCGGUGUUACAACCUUCUCGCCGGCGUCAAUAACACUUGACAACGACGUUUUGAUCAUUGUGGUGGCCGCGAACAUGGUUUGUAUCGGAGAGCGACGAGGUAUGUUCGAUCAGAUGCUGCCAUACCUCUGACAAUGACGACGGUCAAGCGGUUAGGGUUUCCAUCAACUUCCGAUCUGAUGAGUAAGUAACGUCUGGUGAGGUUCCGGUGAACGGCAAGGAGAAGAUUUCAGUGAACGGGUGGAGUUAAGAAUUGAUGGUGGACCAAUGAAGAUUGAUCAGGUUUAGUUGGUAAGAGUGGGUCGAAAUGGAAGUUAUGGAGGAGUUCUUCGGUGUAAAUCGAUUCAGGUUGGAAAGGGUUUAAAGGGAAGUACAGGGGAGUGGGAUCAGAUGGUCGCAUUCGAGAUAAUAUCCCCUGUGCAGAAAAGGCAACAAGCAUCAGAGGAAGUUUUCUGACAUGUUUGGAUCUCCAUGGACUGAUGAUGAAGUUGAGCGCUUCUAUAAAGCUUAUAUGCAGUGUGAAAAAGACUGGAAGAAGGUUUGUGCUUUCUUUGUCCUCUUUUUUUUGUGGUUAAACUACUCUUUGAGACCCACAAUACACUUGUACAUUUCAGGCUAUGUGCUACAUAGCUGCUUUUACAAUAAGGAAGUAUGAGUCGGUGACAUUAAUUACAAGUUUCUUAAUGUAUCUAAGAUGGAACUAUCGUAGUGUCUCAGUUUGGCUGUUACAGUUGUUCUCCAACAAAACAAGUCUCUUAUGUGGUUUGCACAGGUGGUUUGGUUCGGUUUUGAGCCCCAAUCGAUCCACAACUGACACCGAAUCUUUGAUGUAUUACUUGAACCAUGAACUUGGGUACUUCAUAAGCUAUUUUAGAUAGCCGCUAACAUACUCAUCUUUGCAUGAUCCAAUUAUACGUUACACUUUUAUACAAUAUGAUUCGACACAUAGAGGCUUAGUCUCACCUGUCAGUGGCGGAGCCAGAAACUUUUUCUUAUGGUGUCAUUUGUUUAUUACCUAAUUCUUUUAGAAGAAAACAAUACAAUUGUGUUGUUUGUAAAAAGACAAUGGUGUCGCUCGUAAAAAAACAAUGGUGUCGCUCAAAUUUUUCCUAUUAUACGUUAUAUUUGCUACACAAAAUUCAAUGGUGUCGGGCGACACCGUUGUUCAAAGUGUGGCUCCGCCACUGUCACCUGUAAUUGUUUAGGUUGUUGGACUACCCAGGCCCCUCUACCCGAGCGUACUUAUGGGGGUUCCACAAGCACGUCGUUAUUUGUGGUUGUGUGUUCAAACAACACCAUUGCCACAUAUAGGGGCUGUUUAUAUUAUUAUAAAAAAAAGAAUAGAAACUGGAAAAAAAAAAUUUACGGGUCAACCUAACCAAACCAAACCUACCCUUUUAACAUGUCACCAGGCUCACACGUUUUGCCACCUCUUUUCAUUUAAGGGUAGCAGAAAGCCAUCCUUUUUGUGCUACUAAAUGGAUUUUAUGUACAACUAAUAUCUUGGUCAUAUGUUGUUCAGAUGCAUAGAUCUUCAGACUUCAGAACCUGAUUUACUGUAAUUUGUGGAAUACACUAGAAUUAAGGAAAUGACAAACUUCAAAGACUGGCAUAUUUUUUAUAUUAACUGAACCAAUAUUUUUUUUGCUCUGGCCGAGUUGCAUACAUGCAGUAGAAAAAGGUAUAUGUGCUUGUAAGUUGUAUGUUUUCCAUUUCUAUUUUAACUUUGUAAGUUAUAAACUUAUGAUAAAUGAUUCUUCACAAAUUUCACUUGAUGCAAUUUAUGUUUGUAUUCGAACUUUUGGCAGGAGAGUGGGUUAGAGUUUAGAAAAGGUAAAGGGGAAAUUUGUUACCAAGAGGAAACACUUUUCCCAUAUUUUUCUCCUUUCUUCGCUUAUUUCGAGUAACAAGGUUAGGUUUAUAGGGUUUUAUUAUUCUCUUAGAAAUAUACAUAAAACUAUUUUAAUAUCUUGAAUAAGGGCGUUAGAAAUUUUUAAAAUUUCCAAUUCGACGAACUGGUGGGUCGACAAGAACCCCAUGUAAUCAGGAUACUCAAUUCUCACAAUGCGCGCCAUAAAGAAGUUUUUUUGAUUUGGGAUCCACUAUGAUUUGAAUAUACAAAUUUCAGCAAAUAACCAACUUUUAUCUAAAAUAUUUGUUAGAUGUUAGGAGUCGAUUAUUUGGUGUUAAAUUUAGAAGGUUUUGUUAAUUGUUGCAGUAUUUUGAGCUUUCUUGAUUCUCCAUUUGAAGAGAGCUAAGGAUUUGCACAGUUUGUGAGUUGAUUAAAUUGAGCAGUGACUGGUGUUUUUGUUGAUUAUGAUUAGAAGAAUUGCCGUAUGGAGAGGCGAGAUUGAAUAGCUGAACUAACAUGGCGGAGUAAGAAGAUGCCGUACAGUUAAUGGUGCGCAAAUCAUAAACAGAAUAGGCGCAACAGGUUCUUCACCAGCCCAGCUGCAGCAGGAGAAAACCUUGAGACCGUUUUUUUCGUUUAAAUGAUAAAUUGUAUGUGGUUAACGUUUGAUUAUUGUAUAUUAUAUAACAGUUAUUGAAUACUUUGUUGUUUUAUAUGUGUGGUGCUCCUGAAUAACUUUUGUUGGACGCCUGACGAUAUGUUGGUACCUUUUUGCCAUGAAAAUAGAAGACUAAAAUUUUGGGAGAUCA
RNAcentral lists this long non-coding RNA (2759 nucleotides) under Helianthus annuus (common sunflower). The record is from RNAcentral. Lineage: Eukaryota; Viridiplantae; Streptophyta; Magnoliopsida; Asterales; Asteraceae.